CAUAUCUUUAUGUUGCCUUUAUGCAUGAGAGACAAGUGAUUAGGAUGCCAAAUUAUUAGCUCACUGAAUUUUUCUUUCAGAAUACAAUUGGUUGUUAAAUAUUGGGCCAGUCCAGUUUUUAUUAUUUGUAGGUAACCUGUUUUCUUGCUUCUCCUGGUGCUUUUAAAAUGUUUUCUUUAUCCCAGUAAACCAAAUAUUCGUCAUGAUGUGCUUUGAUAUGGGCCUCUAUUGAUUUCUCAUGGAAUGUGGUGAUUGCAUUCAAAUUGCAUUC
This 271-nucleotide long non-coding RNA is filed under the name Pan troglodytes (chimpanzee). Its description in RNAcentral is "long non-coding RNA NONPTRT014323". Lineage: Eukaryota; Metazoa; Chordata; Mammalia; Primates; Hominidae. The record is from RNAcentral.